UUUAAAUGGCCGCAGUAUACUAACUGUGCAAAGGUAGCAUAAUCAUUAGUCUUUUAAUUGAAGGCUGGUAUGAAUGGUUGGACGAGAUAUUAACUGUUUCAUAAAAAUUUAUAAUAGAAUUUUAUUUUUUAGUCAAAAAGCUAAAAUAUAUUUAAAAGACGAGAAGACCCUAUAAAUCUUUAUAUUUAGGUUAUUAUAAUUUUAUAGAUUUUUUUUGUUAUAAUAAUUGAUAAUAUUUUAUUGGGGUGAUAUUAAAAUUUGAUAAACUUUUAAUUGUUUAAAUCAUUAAUUUAUGAAUAAUUGAUCCGUUAUUAGUGAUUAAAAAAAUAAGUUACUUUAGGGAUAACAGCGUAAUUUUUUUGGAGAGUUCAUAUCGAUAAAAAAGAUUGCGACCUCGAUGUUGGAUUAAGGUAUAAUUUUAGGUGUAGCCGCUUAAAUUUUAAGUCUG
RNAcentral lists this ribosomal RNA (448 nucleotides) under Hypopygiopsis violacea. Its description in RNAcentral is "partial 16S ribosomal RNA". It matches the Rfam family "Bacterial large subunit ribosomal RNA", at positions 1922 to 2579 of the family's 2925-position model. Lineage: Eukaryota; Metazoa; Arthropoda; Insecta; Diptera; Calliphoridae. The record is from RNAcentral.